This 591-nucleotide long non-coding RNA is filed under the name Malus domestica (apple). RNAcentral describes it as "long non-coding RNA (MDOM_LNC012437)". Lineage: Eukaryota; Viridiplantae; Streptophyta; Magnoliopsida; Rosales; Rosaceae. The record is from RNAcentral.
AACCCUUAAGGCCGGCCAUUUAGAGGAGGGUAGUGAACUUGCUUUAAUUACAAGUUUGUCACUCCAAUGAAGGAAGGUAUAAAUAUGACUUUAUAGCCAAAAUUCAUUUAGGGUUUCUUUUGGAGAAAAGAUGAGAACACAAACUCUCUUUUCUCUCUAAGAGGCCGGCCACCCUAGAGGAACAUAGCUAGCAAUCUUACUUCCUUUAGGUCACUUUUCUUAAAAUCUUACCUUGGUGUGGAGACUUAGAGGUUCUCAAUUUUGAGAACUUGGAGAAACCUAUUCUUCAACUCCGCCUAUGUCUUACAUGGCCGGUCCCAAGCCCGGAUAAAGGAGGAGGGGGAGGGCGUCAGGUAGUCGACAGCCGGCACUCCAUGAUCACGUCGAAUCCUUAUGAAAAUGAAUCCAGAACAAAAUCGCGCUAAAGCUAGGGCGUCACCCGUAAGUGGCGCGCUGUGUGUAGCCGACCCCACUUAGUGGGAAAAGGCUUUGUUGUUGUUGUUGUUGUUGGAGAAACCUAUUCUUCCAUCCAAAUCCAUGGAGCUAAGAAGCAAGGAAUGAAGGCCCUAUCUCUUGGGUGAUUAUCCUUUG